This 398-nucleotide ribosomal RNA is filed under the name uncultured bacterium. RNAcentral describes it as "bacterial SSU rRNA". It matches the Rfam family "Bacterial small subunit ribosomal RNA", at positions 28 to 422 of the family's 1533-position model. The record is from RNAcentral.
GAUGAACGCUAGCGGCAGGCUUAAUACAUGCAAGUCGAGGGGCAGCGCAGUGUAGCAAUACAUGGGCGGCGACCGGCAAACGGGUGCGGAACACGUACAGAACCUUCCUUCGAGCGGGGAAUAGCCCAGAGAAAUUUGGAUUAAUACCCCAUAGUAUAUUAGAGUGGCAUCACUUUAAUAUUAAAGAUUUAUCACUUGAAGAUGGCUGUGCGGCUGAUUAGGAGUUGGCGGGGUAACGGCCCACCAAGCCAGCGAUCAGUAACUGGUGUGAGAGCACGACCAGUCACACGGGCACUGAGACACGGGCCCGACUCCUACGGGAGGCAGCAGUAAGGAAUAUUGGUCAAUGGACGCAAGUCUGAACCAGCCAUGCCGCGUGGAGGAUGAAGGUCCUCUGG